CUUCUCAAUCUCAUUCUCAGAAUGCCCUUGCUUGGGUCUAACCUCCCAGCAACUCCACCUCUCCUGCAGAAGACUCACAUUUACCAGCCCCUUUGCACAAGAGCUUAUGGCUUGUGAGUUGCCCCUUUUCACCAGACAACAAACAAGAAGCAGAGAAUGGCAUAACUGUAUCCAACCACCUGCUGGACAGUGUGUAGAAACCAUAUUGCACAACCACAUUUAGCCUCGAGCUGUCCUCCAACAACACUCCAUACUCUUCAAAACCAAUGUUCAUGACACUCAGCAAUCUCAAACUGGAACAACUGCUACAGUCCAUUUUUCACAGAAAUUUGGGUUCACAGUACAAGACAAGGCCUGGAAGUGGCAGCGAGAUAAGACACCUGGAAUGAACACAGAUCAUGCCUCCCUGGUGCUUUGGAUGCCUGGAAUGAGCACAGACCAUGCCUCCCUCGCGCUUUGAGCAGCCUCAAGUGUGCAUACAGCAAGAGGCUAACCGACUCUGGUAAGGAGGGCGUCUACCUGAACAGCUUCUGAGAACUGAAUCCCUUGACUGUUCUGCUUGGACGCAGUAUCCCACAGAGCAUUGCCAUUUGUCUGAUCUUACUCCCUUCUCAACUAUCCCACCUUCUCUGUUUUCCCUUCAGUCAGCUUUCCAUGUUCAAUUUCAUUCAGCAAAGUGUUCUAAGACAGUUUUGCUGCAGAUAGAUAAGCAGAUAAACUGCAGACAUUAGUGACCAACAGAUUAGCAGAUUCUCU
RNAcentral lists this long non-coding RNA (756 nucleotides) under Homo sapiens (human). Its description in RNAcentral is "HSALNT0016627". The record is from RNAcentral. Lineage: Eukaryota; Metazoa; Chordata; Mammalia; Primates; Hominidae.